AACGAACGCUGGCGGCGCGCCUAAUACAUGCAAGUCGAGCGAGAAGACGUAGCAAUACGUUUGUAAAGCGGCGAACGGGUGAGGAAUACAUGGGUAACCUACCCUCGAGUGGGGAAUAACUAGCCGAAAGGUUAGCUAAUACCGCGUACGCUCCUUGGACUUCGGUUCAGGGAGAAAAGCGAUACCGUGGGUAUCGCGCUCUUGGAUGGGCUCAUGUCCUAUCAGCUUGUUGGUGAGGAACGGCUCACCAAGGCUUCGACGGGUAGCUGGUCUGAGAGGACGAUCAGCCACACUGGCACUGCGACACGGGCCAGACUCCUACGGGAGGCAGCAGUAAGGAAUAUUGCGCAAUGGGCGAAAGCCUGACGCAGCGACGCCGC
Molecule: ribosomal RNA, 380 nt
Filed under: uncultured bacterium
Lineage: Bacteria
Description: bacterial SSU rRNA
Rfam family: Bacterial small subunit ribosomal RNA
Source: RNAcentral